This 207-nucleotide ribosomal RNA is filed under the name uncultured bacterium. RNAcentral describes it as "partial 16S ribosomal RNA". It matches the Rfam family "Bacterial small subunit ribosomal RNA", at positions 568 to 774 of the family's 1533-position model. The record is from RNAcentral.
CGUGUAGGCGGAUACGUAAGUCAGAUGUGAAAGCCCUGGGCUCAACCCAGGAACUGCAUUUGAAACUGUGUGUCUUGAGUGCUGGAGAGGGAAGCGGAAUUCCUGGUGUAGAGGUGAAAUUCGUAGAUAUCAGGAGGAACACCGGUGGCGAAGGCGGCUUCCUGGACAGUGACUGACGCUGAGACGCGAAAGCGUGGGGAGCAAACA